Long non-coding RNA from Tympanuchus pallidicinctus (lesser prairie-chicken), 1413 nucleotides. RefSeq lists it as uncharacterized. Lineage: Eukaryota; Metazoa; Chordata; Aves; Galliformes; Phasianidae. The record is from RefSeq and is a predicted model, not a curated record. The transcript is spliced from 4 exons.
GUCAGGGCCCGAAGCAGUGAUUGAGCACCUGGGGCAAAGCCGGGCCCACCCACGGGAGCUCAGGUGCAGGCAAUGUUCUCUAGUGAGCGCAAGGGGCGGAGCUAGGGUGCACCCCUUCCCGUCCUCAUUUGAGGGCCGGCAGAGGAGGAGAGAGUAUUUCUCUCUUGUGGUCUCUGCCUAAUAGGACUUUUUGAAGGCCGUUGCAACUUUGUUGCCGUUAACCCAGCGUUCUGUGUACGCGCUUGGGAUAUUUCCACCGUCAGAACGCAGAGCCCCGCAACUGUCCUGGAACGACUUCAAUGUUGUCGGUGCGAAGAGCACGGCUUCGGAGCUCCGUGGAGAAGUCUGAAUUCACCUGCUCCAUCUGCUCCAUCGUGCCAGAGGAGUCCACCUUUGAAUCAGAUACGCUAGAACAGCAAGCAGGGUUGAAAUUGCAGCGUCCCCAGCCCAGUUCUCUUCCUCAGGCAACGCGGGACUCUGAGUAUUUCCCCAAAACAGAAAAACAAGCAGAGAACAACCAAGCAGCCAGCUUUCUCCGCUUCUGAAGCGCUACUCGAGGCCCCACCACACGUACAGAGCCAGCUUCACCAGGAAUGCAAGGACAGCAAGCUGCCACCAAGUCACCUCCAGCGUCAGAACUGCCAACGCCGAGCUCUUCACCUCCUGGGAUUCCUGUGUAAGAGGUAAGGUCCCUACAGCCAGUGGCAUUCCCACACAGCUAGGAUUCACAAGACAUUCAUUUUUGUUUUUCCAGCCCAAGCCCAGCUUAGCAGGGCUAUUCCCAGCAGCUGUAGCCGAGGCUUCAGCUAUCAUACUUAAUUGGGGAGUCCCUCUGAGAAGUUAGCUCCAGUUCAAGUGUCAUUUUGGGAUUCGAGUACCAGAGCAACUGGAGGUAGCACUUCAGUCAAAAAGCCUGGCUGCCAGUGGGGUAUCACAACGUAGCUAACAUUGCGGCUCAAACCUAGAAAUACCAAGUGCUUGAGACGGUAAGCCCACAUCAACGCUAUUGUUUGAGACGGUAAGCCCACAUCAACGCUAUUGUUUGAGAAAGAAAGCCCACAUCAACGCUAUUGCUCCUCUAAGCUUAACAGCUAACCCCUGUUUCCACCUCAAAAUUAACACCUCUCCUCCUUCUAGCAAGUAGCAUGGAUUACCACAGCAGAAUCCUCAGAGCAAGGAACAAGCACCACUGACUAAGCAAUCCAUGUGGGAAAAGCCUCAUAUUCUAUUGAUCCCAGUGACUUUAGGGUGAUGCUUGUUUAGAUGCUUGUCGUUGCAGAAUACUCAUCGUGAACCAAGGAAGAACACUCAGCUGCCUGCUGCAGGAGGAUUUCACAGCCAUCCACACCAGCAAAGAUUUUUUCCAAGGCACCUAUCUGCUCUUCAGUAAAGCACAGACCUCGGUUUAUUCAA